GUAGGUGGCAAGCGUUGUCCGGAAUUAUUGGGCGUAAAGCGCGCGCAGGCGGUUCUUUAAGUCUGAUGUGAAAGCCCACGGCUCAACCGUGGAGGGUCAUUGGAAACUGGAGAACUUGAGUACAGAAGGGGAAAGCGGAAUUCCACGUGUAGCGGUGAAAUGCGUAGAGAUGUGGAGGAACACCAGAGGCGAAGGCGGCUUUCUGGUCUGUAACUGACGCUGAGGCGCGAAAGCGUGGGGAGCAAACAGGGAUUAGAUACCCUGGUAGUCCACGCCGUAAACGAUGAGUGCUAAGUGUUAGGGGGUUUCCCGCCCCUUAGUGCUGCAGCUAACGCAUUAAGCACUCCGCCUGGGGAGUACGGCCGCAAGGCUG
Molecule: ribosomal RNA, 373 nt
Filed under: uncultured organism
Description: partial 16S ribosomal RNA
Rfam family: Bacterial small subunit ribosomal RNA
Source: RNAcentral